RNAcentral lists this ribosomal RNA (468 nucleotides) under uncultured bacterium. Its description in RNAcentral is "partial 16S ribosomal RNA". It matches the Rfam family "Bacterial small subunit ribosomal RNA", at positions 28 to 507 of the family's 1533-position model. The record is from RNAcentral.
GACGAACGCUGGCGGCGUGCUUAACACAUGCAAGUCGAACGGAAAGGCCCUGCUUUUGUGGGGUGCUCGAGUGGCGAACGGGUGAGUAACACGUGAGUAACCUGACCUUGACUUUGGGAUAACUUCAGGAAACUGGGGCUAAUACCGGAUAGGAGCUCCUGCUGCAUGGUGGGGGUUGGAAAGUUUCGGCGGUUGGGGAUGGACUCGCGGCUUAUCAGCUUGUUGGUGGGGUAGUGGCUUACCAAGGCUUUGACGGGUAGCCGGCCUGGGAGGGUGGCCGGCCACAUUGGGCCUGGGAUACGGCCCAGACUCGUACGGGAGGCAGCAGUGGGGAAUAUUGCACAAUGGGCGGAAGCCUGAUGCAGCAACGCCGCGUGCGGGAUGACGGCCUUCGGGUUGUAAACCGCUUUCGCCUGUGACGAAGCGUGAGUGACGGUAAUGGGUAAAGAAGCACCGGCUAACUACGUG